GUUUUAGUAGUUUAUAAAAAAUAUUGGUCUUGUAAAUCAAAGAAAAAAAAUUGUUUUCUAAAACU
This 65-nucleotide transfer RNA is filed under the name Dicerapanorpa magna. RNAcentral's name for it is "tRNA-Thr". The record is from RNAcentral. Lineage: Eukaryota; Metazoa; Arthropoda; Insecta; Mecoptera; Panorpidae.